AGCAGUUUUUAAAUUAAUUCCUUAUAGUAGAUCCUUAAUUAUUUUUUCUAAAUAAAAAAAUAAAAAAGAAGAAUCGUCAUAAAAUGGUACAGUCACAACAUUCAUGCGUGUAAUAAAGACAAUUAAUGAGACAUUUAUCGCAUUUAUUAUCUUUCGACGACUGGCUUCCAGAAUCGAUAUCGAAUUCGACUUUCUUGUAACUCCUUUGGUUUUCCCAAUAUGAAAGAGUCGGUAACGAAGAGGACGGCAUUAGCGACGUAGUAGCCAUCUUUGUUUCGUACUGAACUUCACUGGGUUCCUCGUGUUCGGUCCUCUUGAUCUCAGCCAUUUGCGUCGAAUUGUUUGGCGAUGAUACUCUGAUGAUAUAAAUCCAAAAUUUAUCUA
RNAcentral lists this long non-coding RNA (384 nucleotides) under Polistes fuscatus (common paper wasp). RNAcentral's name for it is "uncharacterized LOC122521374". Lineage: Eukaryota; Metazoa; Arthropoda; Insecta; Hymenoptera; Vespidae. The record is from RNAcentral.